AGUUAGGCUGACCAGUCUAUAAUUCCCUGUGUCCUCUUUGAUGAUCCAAGAGUAGGGUCAGCACAGAAAUAUCAACUGCUGAAAGGGUGGGGACCCAGGAGGAGGGAAGAAAGGCAGUUAACAAGGUGAGUCCUUGAUGGAAGAGCCCAGAGCUUUUAGAGGAAAAGAGGCCCCUCCCAUUAGUCUGCCAGAGUCUCCUCUGCAAUUAUCCUUGCAGAAUGGCCAGAGGCUCAUUGUGACUAAGAGCUUUUAUAUGGAUAGCAGGCCCAUUAUUCUUCCUAAGAUGGUUGGAAGAAAAACCAUGAGGGAGCUGGUAAGACAGCAGGUCUUUUACAUCCCUUCCCAUCUUUCCACUGUGAGUUUCCUUUCUGGGCAUAGUCCUUGAGGAAACCCCAGAUGAAUUUUGAUAGAAUGAUGCCUGUGAGCUGUUCACAUUUGCAGCCUUUAACAUGCCCCUGGAAUGGGGGGCAAGAGGUGACACUUCAUGUCCCUGGCAUGUUAGUUUGGUGAUUUCCUUUUCAUGGGCCCCCAAGGACGUGGGCAUUGUGAGGCAUUGCUGGGCCAUUUCUUAGUCUCAUGGACAGGCUCACUGUUCCACAAGGAUGGGACCACUAUUGCUUAUUUACAUAUUGAACUGGACACUGACACAGGAAGCUUGGAUUCCUAAGGACAAGAUCAAUGCACUAAGGGAACAUAUGGCAAGAUUAAAAAAAGGAGGCCAAGGUAAUGUGGAAGAAAAGCUACCCUCUCGUGUUUCCUUGUACACAGUGGUUGUGCACUGUAUUUCCUCAUCAUUUCUUCUUCCACUGCUUUUUUACAGUCACCCUCUGCUUCAUCUCACUACAUUUUUUUGAGGGCAGGCUGGGGCACCUUGUUUAGUUUCCUUUUCUCAUCAUAACUCUUUGUGUGUCAACCAGCCUUCUGUGCCAUGGUAUGCUGGAGGGCAACAUACAGCCCUUAAGAAAUAUAUGAUGAUAAAAUAAUCAUCACUGAUGUCAUCAGUCACUGGGUUUGCUUUAAUGCUUGAUUUACUGUAUCCUGUAUCUCAUCAUGGUGUCAUUUCCCUAACUCACUGCUACAGAGUACUAGACUAACACAAAACUCAGUCACAAUACAUAGGGGAAAUUUUGUGCACAGUUGCUGAGCUAUUGUAGAAGAUGUCAUGUUAGAAAUUUGGCUAAUUACUGUAUCUGUUUUCAGGAGAAAUCCAUUAGGCAGAGAUCCAUCUGCAUAAUUAUGAAAUCACUAUUUUUGUCAUCCUGUCCUUAACCUCUCCACUUGCAUUUCUUCUAUUGACUGAUUUCAUUCCCCUCCAGCCCAUUAGACUGGCAAGCUUUAAGAAACUGAACUUCAUGACAGUACUAGCCCUUGCCCUCUCUGGGGUGAAGUAGAUGUUGAGUGGAAUUUUAGGACUAGGCAUAAUUUCCGCUAUGUUAGAAGUGUUGCAACCAAACCACAGAACCCAGCAAGACAUGGGACAGAAGUUUUGGGUAGCUGCGUAUGUUUCCUGAAGACUCUUAUGUGGCAUCCCAUUCUGUCACUCCUCAUAUUCAGCAUGCAUACGGUAUCCACACCAGUGGUGAUAUAAUUAAAUUAUACACAGUCAUAGAAAUGUAGGGUUGGAAGAGACCUCGAGAUCAUCUAGUCAGAUGCAUGUAAAAUCUUUAAUAAUAGAAAAGGGCACAGAGAUCCCUUUCCCACAAAUCCCAUGUAAAUAACAGGUAUGUGAACAUCUGUCAUGCCCAUGACACUAUCUGAUGGUGAGACAAAUAUCCUACUCAUGCACAGUAAAGCAUCAGAAUCCCAUUUUUGGCAACCAGGUCUAAAGCCUUAAGGCCUCAAUCAAUCCCUGCGCUGCUCUCAGUGGAUUGGGAAUGACCCUAGGUUGGGGGUUGCAGUAUAGGGGAGCCAUGACUCCAUAGCAUCCUUUUCCUUCCAAACAUAAUAGCAGGAGUGGGUGCAAUGGAAUUUUGGGAGCAGAAAAGGGGUAUUAUGCCUGGCAUUAUCCUCUGUUGGCCCCAUCGCUAUUCAAGUGGAUACAGUCUGCAACUGCUACUAUGCAGCAGAGAAGGAAACAAAGAACCAGAGCUGUUUCACAGAAAAGCUUGGCCCUUCAUGGAUUGGAAGUGCUGUUCCCUAAAUUUUGGGGAUCCACAUGAUGGAGAGGCUGUACCUUAGCCUUUUCCACAGCUCCCCUGAUUCCUCUUGAGGGGAAAAUUUGAUAGAUAAUCAUGAGGUGAGCCUCAUGGAAUUACUUGGCCGCCUCCUCACUUCCAAGGGGGUAUUUCCGUGGCAGGGUAACAACUUGCAAGCGAAUUACCAUGUUGGAAGGGUUUUCUUAAAUCAUAGAAUCAUAGAAUAUCAGGGUUGGAAGGGAUCUCAGGAGGUCAUCUAGUCCAACCCCCUGCUCAAAGCCAGACCAAUCCCCAACUAAAUCAUCC
Molecule: long non-coding RNA, 2441 nt
Organism: Dermochelys coriacea (leatherback sea turtle)
Lineage: Eukaryota; Metazoa; Chordata; Testudines; Dermochelyidae
Exons: 3
Source: RefSeq, a predicted model, not a curated record